UUAUUUUCAACUAAAUUGAGAUCUGGACUCUCUUUUCUCCAACGAGUCUAAAGUUGGAAGCCUCUUUUAACGAGCUCACAUUUUCAGCAACAAUAGCUCAAAGAAAGAAUCGAGGUAAAGCAAAAGUUUUACCUUCAGCUUUUGAAUCAGAUUUUAUUAUUAAUAGGCCCGUGACUAGAUCCUGGGAGAGAUCAUAACAACAUGUGAUAGAACUCCCAUAUUGGAUGUUUCACAUUGCAGAAAUACAUGUAAACAGAGAAAAUCUUAUAUGAACUUACUCCACUGAGUGUAUUGUGAACUAAACCUCUAAUGAAAUGUCAUCUAUAUUAUUUGAGUCAUUUUAGGUGGCAGUUAUUUGCAGACAUAAAUUAAGUGGCAUUUUGUAAACAAGAAGUUCAUACACCAUCUGGUGGACUAGGUCCAUGCAAGAACUUAUCACAUGUUAAGGCUAUAUAUCUUGAGUCUUGACCUAUCAAGUUUUUCUCCAAGAGAAAAAAAAAAAGGUCCAACGUGUUGCAAUCUUGCAUGGUCAAAUAAAAUCCCAGCAAAUACUACAAUUAACAGAGCCUGCAGUACGUCACUGGGUGACCAUUCUGCGUAUUAAAUGCUGAUCACCAAACAGUAAAAUAACAAUAGCUCAAAUAUAACAGAGAACCCAAGACUUUACGGUCUAUUUUCAACUUCAUGACUAUCUUCAAGCGUUUUUACACAGCAGUCAGCACAAGGCAAGUCUUUUUUUUUUUAAUUAAAAU
RNAcentral lists this unclassified non-coding RNA (752 nucleotides) under Hevea brasiliensis (rubber tree). The record is from RNAcentral. Lineage: Eukaryota; Viridiplantae; Streptophyta; Magnoliopsida; Malpighiales; Euphorbiaceae.